Zonotrichia leucophrys gambelii is the source of this 1352-nucleotide long non-coding RNA. RefSeq lists it as uncharacterized. The record is from RefSeq and is a predicted model, not a curated record. The transcript is spliced from 3 exons. Lineage: Eukaryota; Metazoa; Chordata; Aves; Passeriformes; Passerellidae.
UUCAUUUCCUUGCUUUCCCCACAGCAGCAAACCACUGCCACCUUCCCCCUGGCUCUGCUGGACCCUGGUCAGCUGUGGCUCCCUGUUCCCUGGGCCUUUCUUGGAAAGCCAUCUCCACAGUUUCCAGCAUUCUGCCUGAAUUUCAGCACUAUUCAGGGAGCUGAAGGUUGUGAGGUGCUGCAGGGCUGCAGAUGCCUGCCUGGUGUUGGGCAAAUAAACAGCUCCAUUGCUGCUUCAGCAUUGUGGUAGUGUUCAUGGGGGUUAAAAAUGGCCAGUGAGGAAGCUGAGAGCUGGCCUGUGCCAUCAGGAGCAAACGGAGCUGGCCUGGUGGGAGCUCCUUGAUCUCCAGCAUGACUUCCACUCUGCCCUAACAACCCCAAUUUAUCCGGCAGCUGUGACCAGAGAUCAGCUCACGGUCUCCAAGGAGCUUAGAGGCAUAAGAAUAUGCAUCAGAAAGAAGAGAGCACAGAAGGGGGAGAAAGGAGAAGAAAUCUCAUUCUUUACUCCUCCUGGGGUACAAAAGGGGCUAUUUUGAUUCUGCAACCUACUGCAGUGUAGUGUUUUCUUCAUCUGCAUGCAGUUGCUCCUGUGUUUUUGCUGCACUCAUAAUUUGCCAAACUUUUUUUUUUUUGGAUUUAAGUGAAGGGAAAGGUAUGUUCCUAUCCCAUGCAGUCAGACACUGUGGAAAAUGUGAUAGCUUACAGCACAGACCUUCUGCCAGUGGGAAAAUAAAAAUGACAGCAUAAACCCCACAUUUUAGUCUUUGAAAAAAAAAAUAAAAUUACCCUUUACGCUCUUUCUGCCCUGUUUCAUGCCGGGCCAAGACUCCUCUCUCAAACCCACUUCAAAGCUCCCACUUUGCUGAAGUGACCCAUCUUUCCCUAAUACAGAAUUACCGUGGUGCAAGGGGACAGGAUGCAAGUAUCCUCUACCUGUGCUGGGCCAGAAGAUUGCAGCACAAAGGUGUAAACAAACAAAACCCAGUGGCAGCACUUCUGUCACAGUAACAUCUGAAAACCACAAGUCAGCUCAGGGCUCCACACUUGCAAGGUGAAAAAUGAAAUAAAAGUCCCUGGGUUUUAGAGAGGGUUUUUAGAGAAGGAAAGGUUGUCAGAUCAAGUCUCAGCUCUGAGUAAUUAAAAGACUCUCUAGCUAAGUAACUCGCCUCGUUUUACAGUGGAAAAAAAUAAAAUAAAUUAAAAAAAACAAGGCAGAGGCAAGAGCUUAUCUACUUCAGAUAAGUGCAAGAUACCGUUCCAGCAGAUUGUUGGUAGACCAUCCCACCCACACAGCAAUUAAACAGGACACAUUUUAAUGAAUGCUGUGUGCUUUGAAAAAGGUUUUUUGGUUAU